Long non-coding RNA from Drosophila sulfurigaster albostrigata, 984 nucleotides. RefSeq lists it as uncharacterized. The transcript has 2 exons. The record is from RefSeq and is a predicted model, not a curated record. Lineage: Eukaryota; Metazoa; Arthropoda; Insecta; Diptera; Drosophilidae.
UAUAGUUAUAUAUUUCUUAAAAUUGCAGCUAAAUUUAUUGUCACAGUAUCACACAAAAAUUGCAUAUUUUCAUUAUAUUCAGCAUUUCAGUUUGGAAGAUUGUACGUUCUGGAAUGUCGUACCAGAUAGUGCAUUUACAAGCUUCAGAAUGUUUCAGUGCAAAUGCACUCCUGACACGCAGCCCAAAACUGUUUCAAGGAUGCAUUUCUCUUUUUUACAUUUACAUUUACAUUUUUCUUUAACCAUAUAUUUUGUAUUUGUUUAUUCUUUUUCUUUUUUGUUUGUAACUGAAAAUCGUCGAGCGUAACAAGAAAGAGACAGGCAGAGAGAGAGAGAGAGAGAGACGGCGGCGUGUCAGUGUCAGGGCGGUAGGCUUGGCGAGUGGGCGUGGCAUCGUUGAGAGCGCUUGUUACCUUUGCUUGUUAUAUUCCUCAUCAUGUAUCAAAAUCAAAAGCAAAAGCAAAAACACACGAAAAAAUCAAAUCAAACACAAAAACAAAAACUCAACCAUGCAAGAGCGACAGAGAGAGAACAUAAAAAACGUUAUCAAUUGAAAAAAAUUCAAAUUGUGAUUAGCAAAUGUGGCGACAGUUGAGAGGAGGAGUGGAGGAGGAAGUGAGUCUAGUGCCUGGGGGCGACUGCUUAACUGGGUCAAUGUUUACUUGUAAUACAACCCAUCCGUCAUGGCAGCUUUAGCCGGAAAAUGCAGCGUAAAUAAACCGAAAAACCCAAAACGAAGCAGACAUCAAACGGUGAGGAGGGGAGGGGGGAGGAAAUGACAGAUAAGAUAAGCACGCUUUAAAAGCGAUUACAACCGAAAAAUCGUAUCGUAUCGUUUCGUAUCGUAUCUCUAAUGCCAAAGUCAACUUCCAACUUCGUCGCCAGUUGCCAGGAAAGAAAUUCAAAGCCUCAUGACGUCAAAUUGAUCGCGACAAAGUUUUGCGUACUCAACGAGAACGGAACUCAAGCGUGGCGCAACUUUAA